AGCUUACUAAACUAUGAUUGACGCUGAGGCACGAAAGCGUGGGGAGCGAACAGGAUUAGAUACCCUUGGUAGUCCACGCUGUAAACUAUGAUCACUGGUUGUUGGCAAUAUACCGUCAGCGACUGAGCGAAAGCAUUAAGUGAUCCACCUGGGGAGUACGUCGGCAACGAUGAAACUCAAAGGAAUUGACGGGGGCCCGCACAAGCGGAGGAACAUGUGGUUUAAUUCGAUGAUACGCGAGGAACCUUACCUGGGCUUAAAUGUAGAGUGCAUAGAGUGGAAACAUUCUUUUCCUUCGGGACUCUUUACAAGGUGCUGCAUGGUUGUCGUCAGCUCGUGCCGUGAGGUGUCGGGUUAAGUCCCAUAACGAGCGCAACCCUUGUCGUUAGUUGCUAGCAGGUCAAGCUGAGGACUCUAACGAGACUGCCGGUGUAAACCGAGAGGAAGGUGGGGAUGACGUCAAAUCAGCACGGCCAUUAUGUCCAGGGCUACACACGUGUUACAAUGGCCAGUACAAGGAGCAGCCACCUGGCAACAGGGCGCUAAUCUCAAAAGCUGGUCACAGUUCGGAUCGGAGUCUGCAACUCGACUUCGUGAAGGUGGAUUCGCUAGUAAUCGCGCAUCAGCCACGGCGCGGUGAUACGUUCCCGGGCAUUGUANCACCGCCCGUCAAGCCAUGAAGCUGGGGUACCUGAAGUCCGUACCGCAAGGAGCGGCCUAGGGUAAACC
RNAcentral lists this ribosomal RNA (729 nucleotides) under uncultured organism. RNAcentral's name for it is "bacterial SSU rRNA". It matches the Rfam family "Bacterial small subunit ribosomal RNA", at positions 723 to 1468 of the family's 1533-position model. The record is from RNAcentral.